This 489-nucleotide ribosomal RNA is filed under the name uncultured Sphingobacteriales bacterium. RNAcentral's name for it is "bacterial SSU rRNA". It matches the Rfam family "Bacterial small subunit ribosomal RNA", at positions 888 to 1382 of the family's 1533-position model. The record is from RNAcentral. Lineage: Bacteria; Pseudomonadati; Bacteroidota; Sphingobacteriia; Sphingobacteriales.
CCCGCUCAGAAACUCAAAUGAAUUGACGGGGCCCGCACAAGCGGUGGAGCAUGUGGUUAAUUCGAUGAUACGCGAGGAACCUUACCUGGGCUCAAAUGUAUGUUGACGUAUUCUGAAAGGGAUACUUCUUCGGACAAUAUACAAGGUGCUGCAUGGUUGUCGUCAGCUCGUGCCGUGAGGUGUCGGGUUAAGUCCCAUAACGAGCGCAACCCCUAUCAUUAGUUGCCAUCAGGUCAAGCUGGGGACUCUAAUGAAACUGCCUACGCAAGUAGUGAGGAAGGUGGGGAUGACGUCAAAUCAGCACGGCCCUUACGUCCAGGGCUACACACGUGCUACAAUGGCCGGUACAAAGGGCAGCUACCUGGUGACAGGAUGCUAAUCUCAAAAGCCGGUCUCAGUUCGGAUCGGAGUCUGCAACCCGACUCCGUGAAGUUGGAAUCGCUAGUAAUCGUGGAUCAGCAUGCCACGGUGAAUACGUUCCCGGGCCUU